Rattus norvegicus (Norway rat) is the source of this 8619-nucleotide non-coding RNA. The record is from RefSeq and is a predicted model, not a curated record. Lineage: Eukaryota; Metazoa; Chordata; Mammalia; Rodentia; Muridae.
GUGGAGGCAGCUGAUGGCAACAGGUAGAGGCAGAGUCAUGGACCCCAAUAGAUCUUCAGCAGAUCCAAGCUCUGCUGCUCAUAAGGUUUGUGUAGGACUGAGUUACCUCUUUGAGCUUUGGUUUUUCGGUCUGUGAGAUGAAGCUAUUCACUAUUUUCCUAAGAUGAGCAAUUAAUUUGGUCAAUUCAACUUCCUCUGGCUACUUUUAUGUCAACUUGACACAAGAUAUUGUCAUCUGAGAAGGGGGAACCUCAACAGAGAAAAUGCCUCCGUAAGAUUGGGCUGUAGCCAGGCCUACAUGGGAGGGCUCUGCCUAUUUUGCGUGAUACCACCCUGGGCCAAUCAUUCCCCUAGAUUCUAUACAGAAGCAAGAUGAGCAAGCCACGAGUAGUAAGCCAGUAAGCAGCACCUCUCUGUUGCUCCUGGACCAGCUCUUGUCUCUAGAUUCCCACCCUGUUUGAGUUCUUGCCUUGGUUUCCCUCAGGACGUAUAAGCCAAAUGAACUCUUUCCUCAUCAAGUUUCUUCUCUUUGUGGUGUUUCAUCAUAGCAACAACCCUAGGGGCUCAAAGUCAUCGUGUGUGUGUGUGUGUGUGUGUGUGUGUGUGUGUGUGUGUGUGUGUUUGUGUGUGUGUGUGUGUGUGUGUGUGUGUGUGUGUGUGUGUGUGAUUUUGAAUAACCCAGUUUGGCAGUGUGUUAGUUUCCUGAGCUGGGACAUAUUAUUCUGAACUCUUAUCUUUUCCUGGAUUCUACACUUGCUGCAGGCCAUCCGAAUGUUUCCAGAACACAUAGGUGCUAAGAAUGAGCAUCUGCACUUCAGUGAAGUUAUCCUUUAUGUGAGGCUUAGGGACUUUUUGCUUAAAAGAAGGUAAGGCUGUUGGAGCAAAUCAUUAGGCGCCAAUUGUUUCAGCAACAAGUAACUUUCCUGAGUCAUGCUGUGGGUGGGGUCUACACUUGGUCAGCAGAAGACACCUGUGAUGGCUGUAUGCUGGGUGUGUUAAGCACACUUUGAGAUGUUUAGGAAAAGCUGGUCAUACCAGGCUGUGCUGCCGAGAGCAGCACUCAAACAUCUUAUUGUUGAGAACCUAAGUUUUCAUUUUUGUCUGUUUGUCUAUAUUCCACCAGUACAAAAGGAAGUCAUGAGUUAACUGGGACUUAAUUAAAGAGAUAAUAGCAUACGGUUUUAUUUAUUCACGGGUUUUGCUAGCUGAGUUCAGAUUUCCACUUAUAAAUCCAAUCCCUUAAUGCAAGUGAAUGUAGCUUUCUCCAGUUCACUUAGCAAGAAUGAAUAGUUUCUACUGGUAACAUUUUAAAAAUAAGUCCAUAUAAGGGCAUAGGCGGUAAUCACUGAAAUAGUAGCGAAACUCUCAAAGAUCCCUGAACAGAAAGGAAAGCUCUUCUCUUCACCAGAUCAGUGGCCAAUUAGCUUAAACAUGCCAGGUGGCAGGUAAUAGGUGCACAGCAAAGCCCCCUGAUUAAAGGCACUCACUCUGAGGAGUGCAUGAUGGCUCACCAUUGGCUGAUGGUGACUCUUUCUUGAAAUAUCCUUUCAUAACCCUAAGGACCUACUAGGUCAGGAACAAGAGCAACUCAGGAAAUGAUGGAGGUACAGCCCUCUUAGAAACGGACUUCAGGAUUGCUGUUCAAGAGGCUGUUUACUCUCUUCUUUUUUCUUUUUUCUUUUUUUCCGGAGCUGGGGACCGAACCCAGAGCCUUGCGCUUGCUAGGCAAGCGCUCUACCACUGAGCUAAAUCCCCAACCCCCUGUUUACUCUCUUUACAGGUAAGCAUGUAGCUUUGUAUCCUAGACAAGACCUUACAAGGUAAUGUCUUCAUGGAGAGGCUGCUCUAGCCUUCUAUGCAGGAGAGAGAAGCAUAGAGUGGGGUCUUUCGAGAACAUUCGGGAGCUCAUAGCACUGUGCGGUACAGGUGGGCAUCAGUAGCAGAGUGCAGUCAGUCUGUUUCAUGACUGGACUUUUUGGAACGACCUGAAGAACACAGUGGUUAGGAACAGCUCAGGGCUGGAUUUUGAUAACUAAAUGUCUAAAUGCCAAGUCUUAUACUGCUAGCUGUGUAAACAGUUUUGGCGUCUGUAAAGUGGGGGACAUUUUAUUACCAAAGACAGCUGGACAUUGUGAGGUUGGAGUAAGGUGUUUAGGACUGGAGACUGUAGUCAUUCUUAUUAUUGGAUAAUUAAAGCUCUUAAAUUAAAGAUCGUAAGAUUCUUAUGGCAAAGAUGCUGGCUGGUUCUGUUUAUUGCUCUUAAAUCCCCUUUGCUGUGGGAGCUGGGCUGAGCACACGGUUAGGUUAAUCCAGCCCACUCUAAUUGAUGCCCUUAGAACCUGUCAAUUUACAAAACAAGACACAGAGCAAGCCCUGGAUGAAAAGAUGUAGCAGGGGCGGGAUUAAGAUAGAGGUCCAUGUUACCCCCACUGUCUCUUCUAGAUUGAAGGCUUUCACACCUGCUGGUCCCUUUCCAAGCUAAUAUCAAAGUGGCACCCAGUACUCCUGGGAUGUGCUGACACUGAGCCUGCGUACAGAGGGAGGGGGAACGGAGGCUCUCCUUGAGUGACUGGGCAAUAGGGUAAAUGCUAGGGAAAAAUCCUGGUAUUUUCUUGGUGUACAUGGCAAGUGUUCUUACUGUUUUAUAAUUGGAAAGUAUAAAAUACAGCUUCAAAUAAGAAUGAAAAAGAGAGGGGAAAAGAAAGAAAUUCAACAGGUGAAGUUGCAUGCCAAGUCCCACUGUCUAUUACUACCCCUAGAGCUGGCAUGGUGGCCUGAGGAAUGUCAAACUCUGAUGUCUGAUGCCAAGUCUGGUCAUGAGGCUCAGGUACAAGGGAGGGAUGAUAACUCAUCCAAUGGUUGUUCUCAAGUAACUCCUCCCCACACUUGGACUUAUAAACGGUAGGGCCCCUGUGAGGCAUCUGACCAAAAGGAAAAAAAAUCAUUUAACUUAUAAUCUACUUGCUGUGACAUCUAUCCUAGAACUUUCUGGAGUUCUAAACCAUGACAUCACAGCUUUCUUUAUAAAAAACAAACAAACCCCCUCCAUACCUCCUAACUGUCGGGUAUGAGUCAGGGCACUCCCAGGGCUGGGAGUGCAGGACAAGACACAUUCACAGGCUUGGACUCAACUGGAGCAUUCGGUGGACUAGAACAUGCCACAGGGCCACAGGACACCAGACCAAAGGAGGAAUGGCAGAAGCCCUACAGCCAGUUGCCAGGCAGGAGGAGGGUAUUGCUCUCAUAUCGCAGCAGCCACGGCCAUUCCCCAGCACACGAAGCACACUCAAACAGUUGCAGAGACAGCCAAGCGUAAAGCUGCUACAGAACUCCAAAGGUGAUAGAGAGCCACAUUCUAGGGCCCAGGAGUCCCCUCUGUACACAUCCCCGCUGUGUGUUUCUACUGAUGGAGACUCCAAAAGUCCAUGGACAGCUGGCUUGACCUAGUGAGGAGCCUGCUCAGCUCAGCUAGUCCAGUUCAUCACAGGUAAGGGAUUACAAGACCCAUUGAGACCCACUGUAGUCACCUGGGUUAGAACCCUCAGCCUUGACCUACAGACUGGUUUCACUGCAGUAUCUCUCUGCUAGGGAGCCUGUUUGUCUUGCUUUCCAGGUAGUCAUUCCUAUCUGCGGGUUCCUUCUGCCUUGUGCCGUCUCAGUUGUUCACUUGGGACUAGAAGAGACCCAGUGGACUUGUUCAGUGCUCAUGUUGUGUGGUCGUCCAGUGCCUUCAGCUUAACUUCUUAUUUGUACACAGCAGGGAUGGAUGAAAAUUGGAGCAUGUAAGAUGUCCUAAGAGGGGCUGCUUCAAGGCUAACAAUGCCACUUCAUUUUGUUGUUUUAGCCCAGCUUAUGUAACCUGAUCCACUGUGUUAGAUAGUAAUGCCCCUUUUUAAAUUCAAACAUUACUGGCCCAGGCUUCUAGGUGUUGUCUACAAUUUUUACUAUGCAGUCAGAGAGCAAGAUGAGUAGACACUUACUUCCAGUGGGAAAAGGUCUUGCUAGCUUUGGCGACUCCAUGCUUGGGUUAAUUGGUUGGCCUGAACCCCAUAUCUCAGGCUGAUCUAAAAGGACUGGAAACAUGAAGACAGAAUUUCUUAGGGGAAGUUCAAACAAGAGUUUAGAGCUUCAAUUAAAGUUGAGCUUCAAAAUAUGAUCCCCAUGCUUUCACUCAUCCUAGAAGUUUAAUUUCGGGGUGUGCCAAUGAUGCACACACUCUUUAGGCAGAGAACAGGACUAGAGGCGUGGUGUGCGUGGGAGCAAGGGGUAUCUGCAUGUGUACAUGGAGCUAAGUUAAAUGAACAGCCAACUAGAACCUACAUUUUCUUCCUGGUUGGUCACCUAAGGACAUUCUAGGUAUCACUCCCCAUGCUGUCCCCAUUUCCGUACAAUUCCAAAAGUGUAGAAGUUACUUCAUGAAGUUAUUUUGCUGUUAGCUGGUUUAUUUAAAGAGUUCUAUGAAUAUACUUCAGUGUUGAAAAUAUCUGGAUUCUGUGCAGGGCCUCCUAUUUUUAAAGCCUGUUCAGGUUCUUAACCCUUUACAGCAUCAUAAAGAGGAACAAUUAUUCUAAAUAUGCUUGUUGAACAUUUUGAGAGAACCAGAACUUUUUUAAAAAAAUUAUUUUAUGUGUAUGGGUGUUCUGCCUUCAUGUAUGACUGUGCACCAUGUGUAUGCCUGGUGCCUGAAAAGGCCAGAAGAGGGAGUUGGAUCCCCUGGAACUGGAGUUACAGAUGGCUAUGAGCUACCAUGUCCAUGUGGGUGCUGGGACUUAAACCCAGGUCGUCUGAAAGAACUGCCAGUGCUCUAACCACUGAACCGUCUCUCCAGCCCAGCAACCAGAAAGUGAGUAGUUCCUUAGAUGUGUGAAGCAGAUGAAGGCAGCUAGGCAUUUGGUCUAAGAGCACUGAAUUUAAAACAUUCUUUUUCUUCUUUGUUUUGCUGUUGUUCACAUGUAAAUCGCCAGUGUCCUUUUUUUUUCCAAAAACAAACAAACCAAAAAAAAAAAAAAAAACAACGACUAAUGUUCUCCAACACAUGUCCAUAGAAAAAGCAGAGGAACUGAGACCUAAUGUAGCCAAAGCCCUUUCUUUCCUUUCUAGGUCUGCUAAGCACCCGACAUCACUACCCAGGAUGCACUACCAACAUUCAGCAAUGCUGCGAGAGAAAUGUCUUCACUUCUGCCAUUAGUUUUGGGUUGCCUACUAAACACAAAUUCUAUAAUUAUUUGUCUUUAGAAUUAAUCAUGUUUUUGUGGGGCUAUAAAUAAUGUGUAUUUUGAUCUAAAAUACAUCCUUUAAGAAGAAGGGCUAUUCUAUAUUUGAAUUUAAUUUAUGCCCAAUGCAUACAGUAACAAUAGUAAAAUCAGUCUGAAGUAGUAAGAUUAUUUUGCCUGAACCGAUAAGAGAGAGAGGGUUGGCUAGGGGAAGGGUUGGCAUGGUUUGUGAAACGCCAGAACUGUGCAGUUCAGUGGCUAAAGCCAGAGGGCAGUCAAGAAGACUCCUCAGAGAGUCCGGAUGUUUUUCUGCCCCUGUCCCAGGCCUCCAUGUAGGGAGUGCUGGGAAUAGCACUGCUUCUAUAGGCUCAGUGUGUGGGGGACAACCUAGAUUAAAAAAAUUUUUUUUCUAUUUUCAGUGUAGAUAUUUUUGUAUGCUUAUGGAAUUCCUUAAAUAGGCAAAUUCAAAGGCGACAUACCAGCUCCAACCAUCGGUCGGUCACCUUGCAAUGUAUGAAAAAUGAGACUGACCACAGAUGACUUAGUAAUACAAAUGACAGUCUCUCCCAAGGCUACAGUUUGUACAGUUCUAGGUUGGAGGUGUAAUGCCACCGGGAGGGGAUUUAGAACGCAUUUAUAAGUUUGCCUCACUAAAUCAUCGAAAGCGCCCAGGGGUAGCUGGCUGCUACGGAGCAGAAAAAGGAGCUUCAGUUGGCCGCGCUACACCAAAUUCCCUGCAAUGCACUUUGGUUAAAAGCGAUGUGUUUGGAAUUUAGAGUUUGCUCUUGUGACAAGUGCUGGCAAGUUCUUUGGCACCUUCUAGAAUGCUAAGAGCUGGAGCAAGUCCUUGGACUCAGAGAUGAUGGUAAUCAUUGGUAGCUAAAGUCUAGCCCUACCGCCCCAUGGCUACUCCUAUAUUGUUAGCAAGAAAUAGAAUUCCGCCUUCGUUACUGCUCUUUGAAAUCUCUGUUACUUUAGCUUAGUCUACUCUGUCUAUGUACCACGGAAGUCUUUUCUUUUGUGACACGGUCUCACUAUGUAUUCUGUGUCCUGGAACUCACUCUGUAGACCAGGCUGGGCUAGAACUCACAGAGGUCUGCCUGCCUCUGUCCCCCAAGUGCUGUAAUUAAAGUCAUGCUCCACGACACCUGGGCAAUAUAAUGUAUCCCAGAUGAACAUUCCAGAAACUAAAAGUCCUCUUUAAGAAGAACUCCAGGCUUCUCAUCAUGCUAAGGAUCACAAACAGAAAACCUCAGCUUGAGAAAACAGACUUCCUACUGGAGGGUGCAGGAUUGGAGCAGAAAAAUCCUGAAAGGAGGUCUCAAGAAAAGAAAUACAUGGUAGACUUUGAUGGAAGAACCUGGAACUGAUCAGGGGACCAGGAUGUUGCUGCUCUACUGCCAGGAAGUGUGGAUGACAGAGUGGAGCCACAAAACUGGUGACCAUAAAUAUUAAAAAACAAAUCAAAACACCCCCCAAACAACACCAGGAGUCUCCUCCACCCUGGAUGUGAAGCGUGGAGAGAAGAAAUUCAACAGGAAGGAACUUCUUUGCCUCGACCCAAAUGCUAGAAGGUGGCAAUUAUAGUCAUGCUCGCCCAUCACGCACCAUGGCACAUGGGAAGCAACAGAGGCAGAUCACCAAGCGGCAUCGGACAACUGCAUUCCAAGAUCCCGCUGCCAGACGGAGUCCUGGCUCCUCUUUUAUUUUGAAUAUUUUUCUCUUAGUGUUUACAACUAUUUUUUGCCUGCUUACCAAGUAAUGUCUUCUCCAAUGUGAUUUUUUUUAAAUGGAAAGACAUUUCUCGGCAAAUUAAGCUGAACAUUAAUUAAACAUAAAGAUUAUAUUUUGCAUGUGGAAAUCUUCGUGUGUUUCCCGGUAAACAGAAGGGAAGCUUAAUGAAGUCUGGCUAAGUGGAUUAUUUCUGCAACGAAUAUGAAUUUUCAGCUGAAGUCUUCAUCAAUGUUGAGGGUUACUUAAAGGUGAAUCACACGUAAUGGAAUUGCUUAUUUUCUGCAUGAACCCAGGCCAAGCAUUUAGUCUCAGGAAUAAAAAACAGGCAAAUCUAAUUGCCCUGGGCAUGAUGCCUCAUGCAGAUGGCAACUCCAGCAUAGCAAUGAGUGUUCAUUAUGAUGGUUGUACCUCAGGAAAGAGGCGGGCCUUUGCACGACAGCAUCUCCUCUAAGGUCCAGAAUGGCACUGAGUUAAAUUCUCACAAGUACUGAGCUUCAUUUCAGACUGUUCAAAAGAAAAAAAAAAACUUCUUACCCCAGUUCUCCAGGUCAUUUUUGAUACAAGCCAGAACCCCUCAUGAUUUUUUUUUGAUAUUUCUGAUUUCCAAGGCUUACACUGCUGCCUGGAAUGUGGGGGCUGUUUAUUAAAAGUGGAUGCCAGGAAGCAGGACGCGCUGCAGCCAGUGUUUUUGGAGUAUACCAGCUCGUGACGGUCAGCUACACGUUUACCAGCUGCUCUCUAUUUGCAGUCUUAACCAAAGGAAUUAUUCCAAGUUGAUAGAACACGCCUUCUUUGGUCUGAAUACUGUAGUUUGACAUUUCAGUGAUCAAAGGAAGUCCAAGAGAACUUUGUACUUGGUAAGUGCAAAGCCUGUUUACAUGACAUUCUGAGCUAAGCCACUGGGAAGAAUCCCAUGACAAUCCAACAGCAGUGGGUCGUAAAAGUCUGGCGGGAUCAAACAGCAAGUUUAAGUUCGGUAUCUGGAAAUUCAUGUUGUGCACUGAAAUGGAGAAUCCUAACGGACGACAGAGACUAACGUCAAGGGCUAAACAUGGCUUUUUGUUUGUUUGUUUUCGAGAGAUAACUGUUUGACCUUUUGGUGACAUAGAAGGAAAUAUUAAAGAAGACAGUCUCAGGAUACAUUUGAUUCCAAAGGUCAUGUUUGUGAUGCCAGUGUUAAUGGAACUGGGGAGCCUGGGGAACAGACUUUGAAGCAGGGGGAUGACUUUUACUAAGCUGUCAGCACUGUACCCAGUGCUGUACUCCAGUGCUAUACUGCUCCAGCAGCAUGCUUUGCUGGAAGGAAAGUGGGAACAUUGAGUCCAGACUUGGCUUCCAUGUUGACCCUCACUGCCGUCAGGCAUGGGCUGCUUAAUCUCGCUGGGUCUCCAUUUUCUCAGCUAAUGAUUAUAAAGAGUUUUGUAAGUUUUUAACUUUUCACUGCAGUAAGAAAACUGUGUAGAACCUGAAGUAUAUUGAGUAUCACUUUAUGCAUAUUUCUCUUGCCUAGCUAGACUUAUUGAUGGCUGUAAAACAAGUCAGGUGUUCUAAAUGACGACACAAGGGUAGCUAAACACACAAUUUCACCACUGCCAGCAGCUUUAUUUCAAUAGAAAUAAUAAUAAAAAUAACAGCAAACAUUGAAAAUAAUAAACAUUUAAAAAAUCUUAAA